GGGGAUUUAGCUCAGGGGUAGAGCGCUUGCCUAGCAAGUGCAAGGCCCUGGGUUCAGUCCCCA
RNAcentral lists this transfer RNA (63 nucleotides) under Rattus norvegicus (Norway rat). It matches the Rfam family "tRNA". From Rfam's summary of the family: Transfer RNA (tRNA) molecules are approximately 80 nucleotides in length. Their secondary structure includes four short double-helical elements and three loops (D, anti-codon, and T loops). The record is from Rfam by way of RNAcentral. Lineage: Eukaryota; Metazoa; Chordata; Mammalia; Rodentia; Muridae.